AUUGAACGCUGGCGGCAUGCUUUACACAUGCAAGUCGAACGGCAGCGCGGGCUUCGGCCUGGCGGCGAGUGGCGAACGGGUGAGUAAUACAUCGGAACGUGCCCAGUAGUGGGGGAUAGCUCGGCGAAAGCCGGAUUAAUACCGCAUACGACCUGAGGGUGAAAGCGGGGGAUCUUCGGACCUCGCGCUAUUGGAGCGGCCGAUGGCAGAUUAGCCAGUUGGUGGGGUAAAGGCCUACCAAGGCGACGAUCUGUAGCUGGUCUGAGAGGACGACCAGCCACACUGGGACUGAGACACGGCCCAGACUCCUACGGGAGGCAGCAGUGGGGAAUUUUGGACAAUGGGCGAAAGCCUGAUCCAGCAAUGCCGCGUGUGUGAUGAAGGCCUUCGGGUUGUAAAGCACUUUUGGCGGGAACGAAAAGGACUGUGCCAAUACCACGGUUCGAUGACGGUACCCGCAGAAUAAGCACCGGCUAACUACGUA
This 484-nucleotide ribosomal RNA is filed under the name uncultured bacterium. Its description in RNAcentral is "partial 16S ribosomal RNA". It matches the Rfam family "Bacterial small subunit ribosomal RNA", at positions 29 to 507 of the family's 1533-position model. The record is from RNAcentral.